UAACAGGUGCUGAUGUGUAUUAGCUACCAACAUCUUCCAGGAUAUCAUCACCUGCUCUUGGUCUCCUGCUGAUCUGAGCUGAGCAGAUGGUGAGUGAGACGUGGAUCUGCCCAGUGAAGAACCUUGCCCAUUCUUUCUGGCCUUGUAACACUUCACAGGCUGCAGGUUGGAACCUUUAAGUAGCUGCAGCACAUUCCUCCAAUUUACAACGCUUCCCUGACUCGCCAGCUGGGCUCCACACAUAGCCUUGGUGCUCCAGGAAGGAAGACUUGGCAUCAAGAGAUUUGAUAUAUUUUGGCCAGAAUUCUAGUCUGACCUGACUGCACUGCAUCACCAAAUGAUCCCUGCAGAAAGCUUGCAGAGAGGGGAAGCUGCUUUCAAGAUCCAGUUUUCUCCUCUGGCUGCAAUGAGAUAUUUAACUCUGAUAAUCACACAUGAUUAUCUUUCCUGCAUUUGCCAUGGAAACUCUAAAUCAUCUACUUUAUCUUCUAUCUUGAUCAGAUUCUUACCU
Cyanistes caeruleus (blue tit) is the source of this 511-nucleotide long non-coding RNA. RefSeq lists it as uncharacterized. NCBI's taxonomy places the organism in Eukaryota, Metazoa, Chordata, Aves, Passeriformes, Paridae. The record is from RefSeq and is a predicted model, not a curated record.